GACGAACGCUGGCGGCGUGCUUAACACAUGCAAGUCGAACGGAAAGUCCCUGCUUUUGUGGGGUGCUCGAGUGGCGAACGGGUGUGUAACACGUGAGUAACCUGCCCUUGACUUUGGGAUAACUUCAGGAAACUGGGGCUAAUACCGGAUAGGAGCUCCUGCUGCAUGGUGGUGGUUGGAAAGUUUCGGCGGUUGGGGAUGGACUCGCGGCGUAUCAGCUUGUUGGUAGGGUAGUGGCUUACCAAGGCUAUGAGGGGUAGCCGAACUGAGAGGGUGAUCGGCCACAUUGGGACUGAGACACGGCCCAAACUCCUACGGGAGGAAGCAGUAGGGAAUCUUCGACAGUGGGCGAAAGCCUGGUGGAGCAACGCCGCGUGGGUGAAGAAGGUCUUCGGAUCGUAAAACCCGGUUGUUAGGGAAGAAAGGGCGUGAGAGUAACUGUUCACGUUUCGACGGUAUCUAACCAGAAAGCCACGGCUAACUACGUG
This 488-nucleotide ribosomal RNA is filed under the name uncultured bacterium. RNAcentral describes it as "partial 16S ribosomal RNA". It matches the Rfam family "Bacterial small subunit ribosomal RNA", at positions 28 to 507 of the family's 1533-position model. The record is from RNAcentral.